RNA transcript from Cryptotermes secundus, 3038 nucleotides. RefSeq lists it as uncharacterized. The record is from RefSeq and is a predicted model, not a curated record. The transcript has 6 exons. Lineage: Eukaryota; Metazoa; Arthropoda; Insecta; Blattodea; Kalotermitidae.
CACAGCCUGCAAUUUGGUUAUUUGACUGGGGUAAAAUGUCCAGUACAUGAAGGUGACACAUACCUUCAUUCAGUGGUGGAAAUUCAUGACGCUGUAUUUCCACUCUACCUUGACAGCAUGAUUGCUCAUGCCAGUUAUGAAAUUACCUUUUCAUCUUGAAUACAGCACAGAUUAUGUAGUCUUGGAAUGGUGGGAUGAUUUAAAAUGAUGAAUUGAAAGUUAACGUGGCCCAUUAAUCUUGUGGGAUGUUGAAUCCAGUGGUGCAGAGAGACAAGGACUUAGAACUACAACAAAUGUUUAUUGCUGUUAGAAUGAGUAUUACAGAUGAGCAGGGAAGCAGAAUACUCGUUAAAACUCCCUUCAUAGCAGCUGCUCUCCCUGCAGGAGAGCCACGCAUAAGUGGUCUACGAGGAUUGUACACGGUGGGUGAUAUUGUGGAAGCCAAUUGCACAUCACCACCUUCAAAACCAGUAGCACAUGUAACUUGGUACAUGAAUGACAAACAAAUGGAUGCAGAAUGGCUUAUUGACUAUGGAAUACCUGCUGAGUUUACAGCAAGGUUAGACUCAGAUGAAUCUACAAAUCUACAUGUGGCUAUUAAGGGCAUUAGAUUACCAGCCACAGAAAUCACUUUCCCCAACAGGAUACUCAAACUAAGCUGCAUGGCCAGGCUUGGCUCUCAGCAAUGGGAACAACAAUGUUGGACGUUCCUCAUCCAUCAUCAUGUGUCUGGUCUUGGAAGUGCCAAUUGGUCAAGGGAAGAAGGACAAUUUGUGGCUGCCAUACUGGUGUUGAUUCUGAAUAGCAGCUAAAUAAGGCAUUACCAAUAGCCUUAAAAUGGAAAGAUAUGGGGUAUAGGAAUAAUUAACCAAGUAAAACUGGUACAAACAAGUGGAAACAGCAGGGAUAAAGAAGCAACUGCUUGGUACCAGAAUGCCCUAGGGUGCAGGAGUGGUAAAGUAGACUUGUGUACCCUUGAGUGGAUGAAGUCAAAGACACGCUUAUAAUAUCCAUGACAAGAAAUUUAAUUUCUUGUGUUUGUACAUACAAGCAAAGAUACACUGUAUCUCAAGUUUGUCAGAAAUGGUGUUCACUCAUCUGUGUUCUGUUGUAGUGGUCGAGAUAUCGACCAACACACAUUAUAAGAAAAACAGAAGGACGUUGAAAAAGGAAAUAAUUGUUCAUCUGAUGUCAUGCCCAUCCUCAUAAAAAUGUAAGAAUUUAGUUCCUGAGGGUUUGCCUGCCACAGUAUACAGUAUGGACGUAGUGUCCUGUCUGAUGCUCUCACAUUGAUGGUGACAAAGAAGCAUUAUGUGCCUAAGUAUUUGUCAGCCUGCACCAGAAGUGAGAAACUUGCAUUCAUUUUCAACACCUUCAGCAUUAGAAUAGUUAGUGAAUUAUUUGAAAUUAUAUGCAGCAACAUACAUACAAAGAUCUUUUACCUGCCAGCAGUCCGCAAGCAAAGUAUACCAACCAAGCGACCGCCGCUUGUUGGCGAAGUUAGUGCCAACAUCUGUGGAUAUAGGGUGUCACUUGGCCAGCGUGAUGGCUCUCCACGGCCAUUAAUCUCGGUUUCCUGGACCAGAGCCACUAUUUCCUUGAAAUAGCUCCUCAGUUAUCCUCACGAGGCUAAGUACCCAUAUCAUUUUUUAAAUAUUUUACAGACAGUCUGUGAAACUGUGUUUUGAUUAGGUGAUUAGCUGUAUGAAUAAGGAAUGAAUUUCCAUUUUAAUGGCAGUUUCAUCGUCCAUAAUCAGGGACUAAUUGUAUGAGUGAUGCAGCAAUGUGGCCAGUGUAUACAUGCAGUUGCUCUUGGAAUCUAGUGUCCUCUUUGCAAAGGGACAAGUGGAGAGAACAGUGGGUGGAGUCAGGCAUUGACUUAUAUCCAGGGCAUCAGUUGUGUGUUUGAAUGUUUGAAGACUCAGAUGUUAGCAAAAGUUCCUAGUGGCUGUGUUUUUAAGGUGCUUCUUCAUUGAUGUAUGCUGGUAGCCAUGGUCAGUGAUUAGCCUAGACUGAAUCCUGUAUUCCUCUUCAAGUUACUGGAAUGUAACAGGGCUGGACUGGUGGGCAUGUACUAUGAAUUUGUAGCCAGUGUGGCAUGUGUAGUUCUUGCCACUACUUUUGUAUACUGUAGUUCAGUAGCUGUAGUUAUUGCUGUGGUAUCCUGUAGUUAAUUGUAUGCAGUACUACAUUAUGUUUGGAGAUGGCACAUGGAUGGUACUGGCCCUUGAGAUUGGGUUACAUCCAGACAUCAUCAGAGAAAUGGGAUUUAGUGUAAGUCUGUCUGAGAACCUAGCUACCGGUGCAAAUCAGCAAAGCAUAACCAUUGACACACAAGUACUGGGACUGAUUCCUUCAUUCCACAUUAUCCAUGUUAAAUGGAGCUGAUCAUGACCAAAUGACGAGAACACCUGAUCACCUGUUCCCCAGGUUCAUCAGAAUGGAAGCAGACAUUCUCUGUGAAGCACUGGAAGUUGCACACUGACAUGGGGGUUUGUUGAAGGAGGUUUUUUUUGUAGGAAUUGAGAUGGGUUGCAGAUGGGUUGGAAGUUGAACACAUGAAUUCGUGGUUUUGUCGUCUUCUGCUCCAUACAGUCUUUCUGAACCAAUGUGGCAAGACAUUGAAUUUUUUGUUUUUAAUGGAUUUAAUGAAGUGUAGUAACAGCAGUUCAGUCUAGUAUCUCAUGGAUGUAUGGUGCUGUUUGUUAAAAUGUUUCUGUCCAGAUAUGCCUAUGCAUAUCUUGGUGCCCGAGUUGUAAUGACACUGACAUGAAAGAUAAGUGAAAUAUAUGUAAUUCUUAUUUGGAGGUCAGUGUUUGCUGUAAGGAUGCAUGUACUAUUAUGUACCAUUUGGAUUGAAAUAAAGGCUUAAAGCCCAUGUUGGACUCUCCCUUAUCCCAGUUUUCUCACUGUGUAUUUUGUAAUAGUUUCUGGGCUUCUGUUUAUUAUCUGUGCAUGAAGUUUUUUUCUUGUGUUUUUGUCAUUAGUGUGUAAUAUACUGUUUUAUAGGAUUUGUUUGUUUUCAGAUCCCUCUUAAG